This 641-nucleotide unclassified non-coding RNA is filed under the name Bombus terrestris (buff-tailed bumblebee). RNAcentral's name for it is "misc RNA ENSBTSG00005023920.1". Lineage: Eukaryota; Metazoa; Arthropoda; Insecta; Hymenoptera; Apidae. The record is from RNAcentral.
GAUCGCGGGAUACCAGGAUCUAUAUUAACUCUCCUUUCUCUCGGAACGGUUACAACAGGAUGAAACGAACGCUCCUGGAACGCUAAUCGUUCUGACCUGUCGCUUCGGGUUAUCCGAACGUUCUCAGGAAGUUGUCCAGUACGAGUGAUUAAAAAUCGAACACUUCACGUGUUACGAUGAAAUAAGAUGCUGAAACAUUGCCAUGCGAUAUGAUUACGUUUUGGCACUAAUUUACACGCAUUAUCCUAUCUCGAGUGAUUCGAAAAUAACAACGGUGAAGUCUGGACGAGGGUAACGUACUCCGCGAUUACAAGACAAGUGCCUGUCCUUCGACCAUCUAGCUCUAACACCGUCUGUGAAAUCGGAAUCAAGACUCCUGACGUUUGUAAAAAAAGAUAAAACAGCAACUAGAUAAUCGCAGAUACACGACUCGUAAAUGAAAUGUAAUAGAAUUAAAAGCUUCUCGCAAAGCGUAAAGUGUAAUAGAAUUUACAGCCCUUGUUGAGAAUUGUGUCGAUAUGGCAUGAUUUUCCUACUGGUCUGACGAUUAAAUUCUCUAAUUCCAUUCAAGUCGUCAAUUCACUUUCCACAAAUCUUAUCCACUCACCCUUCGUUGUAGUUUAAAUUCGUCAAAAAUCCGC